This 301-nucleotide ribosomal RNA is filed under the name uncultured bacterium. RNAcentral's name for it is "partial 16S ribosomal RNA". It matches the Rfam family "Bacterial small subunit ribosomal RNA", at positions 509 to 807 of the family's 1533-position model. The record is from RNAcentral.
CAGCAGCCGCGGUAACACGUAGGGUGCGAGCGUUAAUCGGAAUUACUGGGCGUAAAGCGUGCGCAGGCGGUUGUGUAAGACAGGUGUGAAAUCCCCGGGCUUAACCUGAGAACUGCGCUUGUGACUGCACAGCUAGAGUAUGGCAGAGGGGUGUGGAAUUCUACGUGUAGCAGUGAAAUGCGUAGAGAUGUGGAGGAACACCGAUGGCGAAGGCAGCCCCCUGGGCCAAUACUGACGCUCAUGCACGAAAGCGUGGGGAGCAAACAGGAUUAGAUACCCCGGUAGUCCCUGUCUCUUAUAC